Molecule: ribosomal RNA, 253 nt
Filed under: uncultured bacterium
Lineage: Bacteria
Description: partial 16S ribosomal RNA
Rfam family: Bacterial small subunit ribosomal RNA
Source: RNAcentral
GACAGAGGGUGCAAACGUUGUUCGGAAUUACUGGGCGUAAAGCGCGUGUAGGUGGCGAGGCAAGUCGGGUGUGAAAGCCCUGGGCUCAACCCAGGAAGUGCACUCGAUACUGCCUAGCUAGAGUCCCGGAGAGGUUGGUGGAACUCUCGGUGUAGAGGUGAAAUUCGUAGAUAUCGAGAAGAACACCGGUGGCGAAGGCGGCCAACUGGACGGUGACUGACACUGAGACGCGAAAGCGUGGGGAGCAAACAGG